UCAUGAUUCUUCCUUCUUCUCUCAGAACCCAUUUUUUGAAGGACUCAUUCCCAGUAAGCAUGAACAAACCUAAUCAAAUCAGAUUAGACUCUGUUCCAAACAAUUAGAGAGGGCAAUGCAAUCACCCUGUGAAUAUACUAGGUGACAGAUGGAUGUAAAUCAUAUUUUAAAGAGGGGUCGGUCCAUUUUUCACCAAAAAUUACAUGUUUUAUAUUUGUUUCGCAAACCGAAAUUCAUUGCAAAUCAAAUGCCAUUUGCUCUGGUAGAUUAACCCUGCAACACUGAUGCUAAGGAUAAGAUAAAAAUGGCGAUGCUGCAUAAU
RNAcentral lists this long non-coding RNA (322 nucleotides) under Vitis vinifera (wine grape). Its description in RNAcentral is "long non-coding RNA (VVIN_LNC007506)". The record is from RNAcentral. Lineage: Eukaryota; Viridiplantae; Streptophyta; Magnoliopsida; Vitales; Vitaceae.